This 391-nucleotide ribosomal RNA is filed under the name uncultured bacterium. Its description in RNAcentral is "bacterial SSU rRNA". It matches the Rfam family "Bacterial small subunit ribosomal RNA", at positions 47 to 435 of the family's 1533-position model. The record is from RNAcentral.
CCUAACACAUGCAAGUCGAACGGUAACAGGAAGAAGCUUGCUUCUUUGCUGACGAGUGGCGGACGGGUGAGUAAUGUCUGGGAAACUGCCUGAUGGAGGGGGAUAACUACUGGAAACGGUAGCUAAUACCGCAUAACGUCGCAAGACCAAAGAGGGGGACCCUCGGGCCUCUUGCCAUCGGAUGUGCCCAGAUGGGAUUAGCUUGUUGGUGGGGUAACGGCUCACCAAGGCGACGAUCCCUAGCUGGUCUGAGAGGAUGACCAGCCACACUGGAACUGAGACACGGUCCAGACUCCUACGGGAGGCAGCAGUGGGGAAUAUUGCACAAUGGGCGCAAGCCUGAUGCAGCCAUGCCGCGUGUAUGAAGAAGGCCUUCGGGUUGUAAGAACGU